Molecule: long non-coding RNA, 617 nt
Filed under: Bos indicus x Bos taurus (hybrid cattle)
Lineage: Eukaryota; Metazoa; Chordata; Mammalia; Artiodactyla; Bovidae
Description: lncRNA (ENSBIXG00000009314.1)
Source: RNAcentral
GCAACACGGCCUCCAGGUCUUUGGGGAAAACAAGUUCAGUGAAGUAGUCUGGGUUGAAGAAGCAUCUUGCAGUCUACUGAGUAUGCAGAGCUGAGGAAUAGAUGGACUCCAAGAAUCUAAACCACUUUUCAAUAAAUCCAUGGCUCCUCUACCCGCCCUGUUCCUGGUGGCUCUGGUGUGCUGACUUGUAGCCCAGGCUCUGGACUGCCACGUAUGCACCUACAGUGCAGAGAACUGCUUCAAGCCCAUGUGCUGCCUGGCCGUGGUCACCUACGGCACAACUACAGACUUACUACACCCCAAUCAGGAUGAAGGUCUGCUGUCUCAGUUAGUAGAAGUCUGCUUCCAACUUCUCCCCUUGUGUUUUCAACAACUUCCUGUCUUCAGGUAAGAGCAUCCACUUUUACUUAGGGAACUUACCCUAGUGCAUUGAAGAUUGUUGGCCAAGACUGUCAAUAGAGAGGUUGCUGCCCUUCUAGUGUUGGUCAUGUGACCCAGGCUAAGCCAAUCAGAUUAUUUCUCCCUGGACUACAGCUGGAGGUGGUUCUUGCAGAGAAAGAAAAAUAGUGAAGUUUCUUUGAGGGGUUUUCUGUUACUUCUUGUUGCCUAGAUCUUUG